Oncorhynchus tshawytscha (Chinook salmon) is the source of this 1004-nucleotide long non-coding RNA. NCBI's taxonomy places the organism in Eukaryota, Metazoa, Chordata, Actinopteri, Salmoniformes, Salmonidae. The record is from Ensembl.
CUCUCCCUUGUUCUCUUAAUCCAUUUUUCCCUCGUUCUCUCUAUCCAUUUCUCCCCUGUACGCCUGUUUAGUGUGGCUUUUAACGCUAACGAUAUUGACUGUAGGUCUGAGAGUGUGUGUGUGUGAGUGUGUGCUUCCGUAUUUCUGUGGUUGAAUGUGUGUGAGAGCGUCUGUAACUGUGUGUGUGUGUGUGUGUGUGUGUGUGUGUGUGUGUGUGUGUGUGUGUGACUCUCUCUCUCUCUUUCUCUCUCUGAGUGGUGAUUUAUUAAUGCAGGUCGAGCUGCCUGCAGCUAUCCCCCUGCAGACUGCAAUGGACCCUCAGCAGGACAUCCAGGCAACUUGACACAACUGGGGGAAGCAUUGGAGUCAACAUGGACCAGCAUCCCUGUGGAAAGCUUGACACGUUGUAGAGUCUGUGUCCCAACAAAUUGAAGCUGUUCUGAGGGGAAAAGGGGGUGCAACUCAAUAAUAGGAAGGCGGUCCUAAUAUUUUGUACAAUCAGUGUAGAGCUACAACAGGUGUUGUAUUCGGCUCAUGUGACAAAUACAUUUUGAUUUGCUUUGAUUUGAGCUACAGUUCCUACCUCUGCCCCUACCAAUAAUGGCACCACCACUGCUUCAUUUCUGCCAGGAUGGUCCUCAUCCAGAGGUCAAAGUCAGAGGUGGGGAGACUUCAGGUCUUGCUUCAUCCUCAUUACCUCCCUGAUUUCAUCCUUGGCCUAUCUCAACAUUUCAUAGGUGAAGUACCCUCCACCUUUUCCAGCAGCCCUUUCACCUGCUCGUGGUUGUUGAAGACAUGAUAUACGUUCCCACACCUCCCUUUUGGGGCCAUUUUCAUGAACUCCUUUAUCAGCAUGCCCUCCAGAUCUUCCUCACGUUUGAACAGAACCAACCCAUAUAGUUCUGCAACCCAUAGAAGCAAGGCCGGUGUCACAGAAACAGGGUGUAUCUACAACCACAGGAUCCCCCCCAGUCAGGUUCCCCACCCUUUGACAUGAAUUUGGA